RNAcentral lists this non-coding RNA (157 nucleotides) under Chelatococcus sambhunathii. Its description in RNAcentral is "6S / SsrS RNA". It matches the Rfam family "6S / SsrS RNA". From Rfam's summary of the family: E. coli 6S RNA was the first non coding RNA to be sequenced, but its function was unknown until recently. It consists of 184 nucleotides that fold into an extended hairpin structure with a large single-stranded internal bulge. Lineage: Bacteria; Pseudomonadati; Pseudomonadota; Alphaproteobacteria; Hyphomicrobiales; Chelatococcaceae. RNAcentral also lists the same sequence under 1 other name. The record is from RNAcentral.
GCGGUGCUGCGGGGUGCGUCAGGAGAACAUAUCCCCGGGGCCUUAUCGAUCCUAACGGGAGCUGUUCCUUGCCUUGUCCGUGGACUCGGCGACACGGCGCCCACCUACGUUGUAGGUUUCCCGGGAUCGAUCCUCCAACGGCCAUCGUGGCUCCGCA